This 732-nucleotide ribosomal RNA is filed under the name uncultured Candidatus Poseidoniales archaeon. RNAcentral describes it as "SSU rRNA". It matches the Rfam family "Archaeal small subunit ribosomal RNA", at positions 109 to 844 of the family's 1478-position model. Lineage: Archaea; Methanobacteriati; Thermoplasmatota; Candidatus Poseidoniia; Candidatus Poseidoniales. The record is from RNAcentral.
CUGCCCUGUGCUGGGGGAUAACCUCGCGAAAGUGAGAACAAUACCCCAUGGGUCACUAUGCCUGGAACGGUUAGUGGCUGAAAGCUCCGGCGGCACAGGAUGGGUCUGCGGCGUAUCAGGUCGUAGGGGGUGUAACGUACCUCCUAGCCUUCGACGCGUACGGGUUGUGAGAGCAAUUGCCCGGAGAUGGAUUCUGAGACACGAAUCCAGGCCCUACGGGGCGCAGCAGGCGCGAAAACUUGACAAUGCGAGAAAUCGUGAUCAGGGGACUCCAGUUGGCUGGAUCAAAAGUCCAGUCUGAACCGACUUUAAAUCGGUCGGGUAAUAGGGGCGGGAAAGACCGGUGCCAGCCGCCGCGGUAAUACCGGCGCCCCAAGUGGUCGUCACUAUUAUUGGGCCUAAAACGUCCGUAGCCGGUUUGGUAAAUCCGUGGGUAAAUCAGACAGCCCAACUGUCUGAAUUCUGCGGGGACUGCCAGACUUGAGACCGGGAGAGGUGCGGGGUACUUGCGGGGUACCGGUAAAAUGGGAUCAUCCCGUAGAGACCACCUGUUGCGAAGGCGCCGCACUAGAACGGAUCUGACGGUCAGGGACGAAGCCUAGGGGCACGAACCGGAUUAGAUACCCGGGUAGUCCUAGGUGUAAACGCUGUGGACUUGGUGUCGGGGACCUUCUGAGGGUUUCCGGUGCCGGAGUGAAGAUGUUAAGUCCACUGCCUGGGGAGUACGGUCGC